AAUUGGAGAGUUUGAUUCUGGCUCAGAACGAACGCUGGCGGCGUGGUUCAGGCAUGCAAGUCGAACGGUCCCGCAAGGGACAGUGGCAGAAGGGUUAGUAACACGUGGGCAAUCUACCCUAGAGUCGGGGAUAACAUCUCGAAAGAGGUGCUAAUACCCGAUGACAUUAUCGGAUGGCAUCAUCUGAUCAUCAAAGGUAGCUCGCAAGAGCUUCCGCUUUUGGAGGAGCCCGCGGCCUAUCAGCUAGUUGGCGAGGUAACGGCUCACCAAGGCUUUUGACGGGUAGCUGGUCUAAGAGGACGAUCAGCAACAUUGGGACUGAGACACUGCCCAGACUCCUACGGGAGGCUGCAGUCGAGGAUCUUUAGCAAUGCCCGAAAGGGUGACUAUGCGACGCCGCGUGCAGGAUGAAGGCCUUCGGGUUGUAAACUGCUGUCAGGGGGGAAGAAACCUUGCGUGUGAAUAGCACGUAAGCUGACAUCACCCCCAAAGGAAGCCACGGCUAACUCUGUGCCAGCAGCCGCGGUAAGACAGAGGUGGCAAGCGUUGUUCGGAUUUAUUGGGUGUAAAGGGCAGGUAGGUGGCUUUGUGGCUUUGCAAGUCCGGUGUGAAAUCCCAGGGCUCAACCCUGGAACUGCAUUGGAAACUGCAUGGCUUGAAUAUCGGAGAGGUGAGGGGAAUUCUCGGUGUAAGGGUGAAAUCUGUAGAUAUCGAGAGGAACACCAGUGGCGAAGGCGCCUCACUGGCCGAUGAUUGACACUGAGCUGCGAAAGCAAGGGGAGCAAACAGGAUUAGAUACCCUGGUAGUCCUUGCCGUAAACGAUGUGGAUUAGGUAUCGGGGGUGUCGAUCCCUCCGGCGCCGACGCUAACGCAUUAAAUCCACCACCUGGGGAGUACGGUCGCAAGACUGAAACUCAAAGAAAUUGACGGGGACCCGCACAAGCGGUGGAGCAUGUGGUUUAAUUCGAGGCUACGCGAAGAACCUUACCCAGGCUUGAAAUGUAUUUGACAGCCCAUGAAAGUGGGUCUUCUCGCAAGAGACAAUUACACAGGUGCUGCAUGGCUGUCGUCAGCUCGUGCUGUGAAGUGUUGGGUUAAGUCCCGCAACGAGCGCAACCUUUGUCCUUAGUUGCCAUCACGUCAUGGUGGGCACUCUAGGGAGACUGCCGGUGAUAAACUGGAGGAAGGAGGAGACGACGUCAAGUCAGUAUGGCCCUUAUGCCUGGGGCUACACACGUGCUACAAUGGCCGAGACAAAGGGCAGCUAACCCGCGAGGGGGCGCUAAUCCCAAAAAAACGGCCUCAGUUCAGAUUGAAGGCUGCAACUCGCCUUCAUGAAGUCGGAAUCGCUAGUAACGGUAGAUCAGCUACGCUACCGUGAAUACGUUCCCGGGUCUUGUACACACCGCCCGUCAAGCCACCUGAGUUGGGAGCACGCGAAAUCGUUGAUCUAACCCGCAAGGGAAGAAGACGCCUAAGGUGAGACCAGUAAGGAGGGCUAAGUCGUAACAAGGUAACCGUACCGGAAGGUGCGGUUGGAUCACCUCCUUUCUA
RNAcentral lists this ribosomal RNA (1555 nucleotides) under Candidatus Omnitrophota bacterium. RNAcentral describes it as "bacterial SSU rRNA". It matches the Rfam family "Bacterial small subunit ribosomal RNA". The record is from RNAcentral. Lineage: Bacteria; Pseudomonadati; Candidatus Omnitrophota.